RNAcentral lists this ribosomal RNA (465 nucleotides) under uncultured bacterium. RNAcentral's name for it is "partial 16S ribosomal RNA". It matches the Rfam family "Bacterial small subunit ribosomal RNA", at positions 28 to 507 of the family's 1533-position model. The record is from RNAcentral.
GACGAACGCUGGCGGCGUGCUUAACACAUGCAAGUCGUACGGUAAGGCCCUUUCGGGGGUCCACGAGUGGCGAACGGGUGAGUAACACGUGAGUAACCUGCCCACAACUUUGGGAUAACGCUAGGAAACUGGUGCUAAUACUGGAUAUGUGCUCCUGCUGCAUGGUGGGGGUUGGAAAGCUCCGGCGGUUGUGGAUGGACUCGCGGCCUAUCAGCUUGUUGGUGGGGUAGUGGCCUACCAAGGCGGCGACGAGUAGCCGGCCUGAGAGGGUGACCGGCCACAUUGGGACUGAGAUACGGCCCAGACUCCUACGGGAGGCAGCAGUGGGGAAUAUUGCACAAUGGGCGCAAGCCUGAUGCAGCAACGCCGCGUGCGGGAUGACGGCCUUCGGGUUGUAAACCGCUUUCAGCAGGGACGAAGCUUUUUGUGACGGUACCUGCAGAAGAAGCACCGGCUAACUACGUG